UUUUAACAGUACUGUACAUAAGAGGUUUUAACAUUUGGCUCUAAAAACAAAUGUUAAAACCUCUUUUAGGACCUGGGAAAGAUUCCUUUUGAGUGGCUGAACUGCUGUGUGGGUCUUAAUGCUGAUUUGUUAAACUUGGAAAGGACAACCAACAGCAUUUUUCUGACCUCUUGAUGUCAAAGCAUUUAAAUGCUGUUAGGAUAAUCUCAUUGUGAACCAAAGUGAUAAACUGACCAACUGCCUGAGAAGGCAAUGAUAUCCCCAGAGUCCUGCUGCCAUUGUGGCCAGAAGUAAUGUUUUUCUCUGACAGUCUUUCUACAGCCAACCACCUCUGCCAUCACUGUGGAAACUGUGGAAACAAAUUCAACACAUCCAUCUGCCAAACAUGUUAAAGGUGCUGAGGUCACCACCUACAGAAACAAACCCAGUUCUUCAGAGGAAGCAACAGUUGGUGUAGAUAUUUAUGAAAAUCAAGAAGUUGUUCAGAACUCAAAGCCAAUGAAAUCCAGACAGCAGAGUGCCUGUCUGCAGUAUGACGACGUAGGUGAAGACCAACCAGACUAUGAAAACAUCACAGAAGACAUCUACUGUAACCAAAGUUUCCAUCGAGCCUAUAACAGAUGAACUGUUUGUACUGUUUUUAGCAUGAACAACAGCACAACACAGAUUCAUGUACCACUGCAAUCUGACAAUUACAUCCUCUAACUGAAGACUUUGUUGGUCUUUGUGACCCAGAUUUGUUUUAUUAUUAACUGAAGAUAUAAUUGAAUAUGUACAUAUUCAUGGUUUUAACUCUUUAAACUUUUGCCUUUGCAUUAAUCUUCUUCAGUCUGUACUCCUUGUAUCCAAUUGUGGAUAUUAUGUAAAAUUUCAACCAUACAACUUAAAUGUUAAUUACCUAUUUGUAUAUAAUAAAAGUAAAUAAGUAAAGAGAUGAUAA
Molecule: long non-coding RNA, 940 nt
Organism: Amphiprion ocellaris (clown anemonefish)
Lineage: Eukaryota; Metazoa; Chordata; Actinopteri; Pomacentridae
Source: Ensembl